UAAAGGAUGUGUCACAUUUUGAAGUUUUUCAUUUUACCAGCAUAAGGAAGGUUCGAGCUUUCCUUUUCCGCCUUUCUCUAUUCUCUCCUCUCUGCUGUUCUCUCUUCUUCACCGGUACAAGAAAACCAGACUGGUGACAUGCAAGUGGCAACCACCGACCGGAGCUUGGCGAAGCUGCUGGCAUUGCAUGGAGAAAACCCAAACCAUUUGCAGAAUACAUCGUCUCGCAGCUAUCGCGGGUGACAAGCAGCCUCACAGCCAUCACAAGUGACCAAGUUUUCAGGCCUAAGAUGGAAGAUUGGGUUGAGAAUGUUGGGGAGACCAUGACAGAUUAUCAAUGAUUUGAAAAAUGUAAGUGGGGGAGAUGUGGACCUAGAUUGCCUAUUUGUCUCUACCCAUUUACAUACUUUAUACACACAUAAUUUCUUGACAAUGAUAUCAUCUCAUAAAGUGCAAAAAGAAUUGUAUAGAA
Molecule: long non-coding RNA, 472 nt
Organism: Nymphaea colorata (pocket water lily)
Lineage: Eukaryota; Viridiplantae; Streptophyta; Magnoliopsida; Nymphaeales; Nymphaeaceae
Exons: 3
Source: RefSeq, a predicted model, not a curated record